AGCUUCAUUCAGUCUCGUCCCUUAAAGAGCUGAACUGUACCCUGAAACAGGAGGAGAAAGAUGUAUGGGAGCUGACAUUGAGGGGGAAUCCAGAAAUACAGAUUGAGAGCCAAUGUUUUAAUUAUGGAGACCUCAGUAACCAAAUUGGACUGAAGAAACCUUUUCCAGACCUGGAUGCUGAAUAGAUUUGGCAUUUGCUAAGCUCCUGUGUGUCAGCAAAAAUAUAACAUGACUUUUUACAAAGUGGUACAGGACAGCAUCAACAUCUCUAUCAGUAGAAGGAGAAGAUGGGGUUUAAACAUUUUCAUGAACCAUGCGUCAUGGCCAAAGUGUUUAUCUUGAAGGCAGUCUCCAAUAAAUAUUCUACAAGCAAAUCUCUGUUUAAAUCUAUUUCCUGGAAACUUUACCUAAGAGGGUUGAUGUCAGAAGUAAUUUAAGGAAGUAAGAACAAUAAUGGUAUUUUGGAGUUGAAUCAUCAGUUGGUCAUCUGGCAAUGAGGAACUUUUACUGGUAGUAGAUAAAACAUCAUUAACCCCUGGCAUCAUGUAAAUGUGCAGUGUUAAAAUGUUCAUCUGUGAUAAACUAGAAUGAGAUUUUGAUGAAAGCAAAUACACGGGCAAGUGCAGUAUCUCAGGCAUAUCAGAAGUUCAGAAGUACGAGCUAUGAAACUGGAUGGAAGUUCUAAAUAUGAGAUGAUUAACCACCAACUAAAAGACUAUGCAUAAAAGCCAGAAUACCACCUUGGCAGUUAAUGAAGUAACCUUCAUUUUUUUUUUUUUUUUUUUUUGUGAGUGAUUGGCAGAAAACAAAAACCAGCAUCAGACCCAGCACAUAGUUAUAACAGAGUUCCAGAAGAGAUUGAAUACUCAAUCGGGGAAAGUCUGGACCAGCAAGAUGCCUGAUUGGAGAAAUGUAAAGGGUUAAGACAUUGAAUGGAUACAUCUGACUCAAUGUUCUAGAAAAUCUUGAAUCAAAUAAGAUUCCUCUGAACCCUUUAGACAUGUAAUAUUAUCUUACUCUAUUAUGUUCUGCUCUAGUGUACUUCUUUUCUUAAAGAUGAAGCAGAGGUUUCCUUCUGGCAGGAAAACACAUACACUGCUCUCCUCCUUUCCUGGACACCACAACAUAAUUUUUAUAUUCCAUUAUAACCCAGUCAAAAAGUGCUGGCCUUGCUAACAGAGGAAAGAGAUGAUACCCUCUUUGAAGUGGCUGCAAGAACUUGUAAGAUCAGAACCUGGAAGAGUAUGCACGAGACUAGAGUUUGCUUGAUGAAAGAGGCAGAAUAUAAAGUUGAGAAAGUGAAAGUUUACCCAUUUAGGAGCAGUCUCCUGUAUUACAACAUUUAACCUUGGCAAGAAUUCAAGGAAGUGGUGCUAGAAUAGAGCCUAGAUUCAUACCAAAAGCUAUGAUCCAUACAAAAUGACAUAGAAACACUAGAUCUUCUGUGGAAGACAAUAGAAGAUAAUGGAAGAAUGUGUCAAAUGACUCAGAGAAACACGCAUCCUAAAAUGAGGGUGGGGUGCAGCCUGGCUCUUUAUCUAGUCAUGUGGCUGGCAAAGUGUUUAUUCAAGACAACCAUUGUUGAAGUGAUAUCUCUGCAAUCAAAGUUUAAAUCAGACACUUGCAUUACAAAAAAGGGAGAAUCCAACUGUCAGGGAAUGCCACAACUCUCAUUUCCUUUGCUGUAGAGAUUUUUUUUUUUUUUACUUUAAUGUAGUCUCACAUGUCUAAUUUGCUUUUGAUGUCUAUGCUUCAGGUGUCAUAUCCAUGAAAUCAUGGCCAAGAUCAAUGUCAUGAAGCUCCCCCACUCUAUAUUUUCUUCUAAGUGUUUAUAAAUUCAGGUCUUAUAUUGAAACCUUUAAUCUAUUUUGAGUUGAUGUGUAUAUAUGGUGAAAGAUACAGGUGCAUUUUCAUCCUUUUGCAUGUGUCUAUUUAGUUUUCCUACAACAUUUGUUGAAGAGAUGCUCAAUUUCCCCACGGUGUAUUCUUUGCACUCUGUGGAAGAACAGUUGUCCGUAUAUCCAUAGGUUUGUUUCUGCACUCUCUAUUCUGUUCCAUUGGUCUAUAUGUCUAUUUUUGUGCUAGUAUCAUACCACAUUAAUUACCGAGCUUUGUAAUAUAUUUCAAAAUCAGGAAGUGUAAUACUUCCAGCUUUGUUCUUCCAUUUCAAGAUCACUUUGACUAUUUGGAUUUUAUAUAUUUCCAUAUGAAAUCUAACUUUUUUUUUCUAUUUCAGUAAACAUGCCAUUGGAAUUUUAAUGGGAAUCACACUAAAUCUAUAGGUUGCUUUAGGUAGUAUGGCAUUUUAACAAUAAAUGAAUAUGGAUGUCUUUCCAUUAUUUGUGUUUUUAUUAAUUUCUUUCAUCAAUGUAUUUUAAUUGUCAGCUUAAAAAUAUUUAAU
This is a long non-coding RNA of Felis catus (domestic cat), 2401 nucleotides long. RefSeq lists it as uncharacterized. NCBI's taxonomy places the organism in Eukaryota, Metazoa, Chordata, Mammalia, Carnivora, Felidae. The record is from RefSeq and is a predicted model, not a curated record. The transcript has 4 exons.